GAUGUUGCCUGAAAAGUUUUGCAUGGAAUAAUGGAAUAGGACUUCGGUUCUAUUUCGUUGGUUUUCGGAUCCGAAGUAAUGAUCAAAAGAGACAGGCGGGGACGUUUGUAUGGCUGCGCUAGAGGUGAAAUUCUUGGACCGUAGCCAGACAAACUAAAGCGAAAGCAUUCGUCAAGCAUGUUUUCAUUGGCCAUGAGCGAAAGUCAGAGGCUCGAAGACGAUCAGAUACCGUCCUAGUUCUGACCAUAAACGAUGCCAACUGACGAUCCGUGAUGGUAGCAUUUAAACCUUCCUCACGGGCAGUCCCCGGGAAACCAUUAAGUCUAUGGGUUCCGGGGGAAGUAUGGUUGCAAAGCUGAAACUUAAAGGAAUUGACGGAAGGGCACCACCAGGAGUGGAGCCUNNGGCUUAAUUUGACUCAACACGGGAAAACUCACCCGGGCCGGACACUAUGAGGAUUGACAGAUUGAAAGC
RNAcentral lists this ribosomal RNA (474 nucleotides) under Bothriocephalus scorpii. RNAcentral describes it as "SSU rRNA". It matches the Rfam family "Eukaryotic small subunit ribosomal RNA", at positions 787 to 1255 of the family's 1831-position model. Lineage: Eukaryota; Metazoa; Platyhelminthes; Cestoda; Bothriocephalidea; Bothriocephalidae. The record is from RNAcentral.